This 679-nucleotide ribosomal RNA is filed under the name uncultured bacterium. Its description in RNAcentral is "bacterial SSU rRNA". It matches the Rfam family "Bacterial small subunit ribosomal RNA", at positions 8 to 665 of the family's 1533-position model. The record is from RNAcentral.
AGAGUUUGAUCCUGGCUCAGAACGAACGCUGGCGGCGUGCUUAACACAUGCAAGUCGUACGUGAAAGGGACUUCGGUCCUGAGUAAAGUGGCGCACGGGUGAGUAACACGUGGAUAAUCUGCCCAAUGGUCCGGGAUAACACUUCGAAAGGGGUGCUAAUACCGGGUAAGCCCACGAGCUCUUCGGAGCACGCGGGAAAAGGUGGGGACCUUCGGGCCUGCCGUCAUUGGAUGAGUCCGCGGCCCAUUAGCUAGUUGGUGGGGUAAAGGCCUACCAAGGCGACGAUGGGUAGCUGGUCUGAGAGGAUGAUCAGCCACACUGGAACUGAGACACGGUCCAGACUCCUACGGGAGGCAGCAGUGGGGAAUUUUGCGCAAUGGGGGAAACCCUGACGCAGCAACGCCGCGUGAGUGAUGAAGGCUUUCGGGUCGUAAAGCUCUGUCAGAGGGGAAGAAACCCCUGGAGGAUAAUACCCUUCAGGACUGACGGUACCCUCAAAGGAAGCACCGGCUAACUCCGUGCCAGCAGCCGCGGUAAUACGGAGGGUGCGAGCGUUGUUCGGAAUUAUUGGGCGUAAAGCGCGUGUAGGCGGUCUGUUAAGUCUGAUGUGAAAGCCCCGGGCUCAACCCGGGAAGUGCAUUGGAUACUGGCAGACUUGAGUACGGGAGAGGGUAGUGGA